GUACAGUACCAUACAGAAGUGGUGCACUAAAACUGUAGCUGAGAAUUGCUCUGCCACAAUUCCAAUAAUAUUUAAUGCAUUAGUUACCCGGAAGUGUUUUAAUUCUGGCCUCUGCUAGGACCUUCCGCAAUGCAGGCACUGGAACUGCCUGCCAUAUCAAUUCUCAGUAUGGGAGGAGGGUGUAAAUUUUAAAUGAAAUUUUGAGAUUGACAAUAUAUCAUCUAGGCAGCAGAAAACAGAACAAGUUACUUUGGUCUGAAAGCAUUCAACUAGGAUUUGUAAAUGAUAACCUAAAGUGAUUCAUGAUUUCUGUAUAUUACAGAAUGGUCAACAAGACUGGUUCUGUGUGAUUCAUUCCCCAGCUGCUGCUCAGGAAAGGGACGAAGUGCAGUGCCUGGCAUCCAGCAAGUGCUCAAGAGAUAUUGGUGAAUGAGUUACUGAAUGCAUAAAUGAAUGCAACAGCUGGAAGGGCCAAGAGAUAAUCUAACACAGGCAUUACACUGGUGAAGAUGGAAACAGCAGACCAUUAGUGAUGAUAUUCAAAGAAGAAGCAGUUUCCUUACUCCUACUUUCCACCUCAACAACACACAAAAACAGGGCCAAGGGAUAUCUCUUCUCUCCUGCAUAAAAACAAGAGGCCUCUUCUCUUCCCUCUGAGAUUUGACUCCACCCUCACGGCCUUCAAGGCCCUCAGGGACUGCUGGC
RNAcentral lists this long non-coding RNA (705 nucleotides) under Equus caballus (horse). Its description in RNAcentral is "lncRNA (ENSECAG00000050952.1)". The record is from RNAcentral. Lineage: Eukaryota; Metazoa; Chordata; Mammalia; Perissodactyla; Equidae.